This 807-nucleotide long non-coding RNA is filed under the name Sus scrofa (pig). RNAcentral's name for it is "lncRNA (ENSSSCG00070017569.1)". The record is from RNAcentral. Lineage: Eukaryota; Metazoa; Chordata; Mammalia; Artiodactyla; Suidae.
GGAUAACCUAGUUGCCCAGUCUCAGGGUUUGCCAGAGAGGGGCGGGGUUAAAAAGGCCCACUGGGCUGUACCUGCCCGAAGCCCAGCCUCCUCCCAGCACACCUGCCUCCACACCUGCAGCCACUCUAGCUCCUGCCCAGAUGUCACGUGGCACACACCUCACAGACGCGGAGAAAAAGCUUAUUGCUUCUGGUGAGAAUGGCCGCCUCAAAGCCAUCUUUGCUUUGCUCUCCAGGUUACUAGUGAAUUCAGUUUUUGCCAGUUAUCAAGAUUCUCCCAGCAGAUGCGCGAGGGAGUGACCGGCAACAAGCUAGAUUUUUAGCAGCUGAAGUCAAUCGCUGUCGGGCCCGUGAACCUAUCUUGGCUGGACCUGGAGUGAGGAAGCAGCUAGAACUGGCUCCAGAAAUGUUUCCUGUGUUUCAGCAGCAUUUUAGCUCUUUAGCAAAUUCCAGCUUUAUCCCACGACCUUGGCUACGAUGAAAAUGGGAUUAUACUUAUCUCUGCUAUUUCAGACGGACUGGCGGGAGUCCCUUCGAUAACAUCAAGAUGGCAGAGAGGCGGUCUUUUGGAAUCUUGAUCCUGACCCUAACAGGUCCGGGGGUGCCCAAGAUGCCGCAUGGGAAGCAAGGUGGCUGGUGCUCAGAUCACACCUCCCUCGAGCAGCACGAGGCUCAGGUUGACUCAAGGCUCUGCCAUGCACCGUCCUGGCUCCAGGACACAACUGAUGAGGCAGCUGUUGUCUGGAGCGUUGCUGGUUCCUGGGGCAGAGGAAAGGAACUAUCUGGAGAAACUCACGCAGGCAAUUAA